ACUGAGGCAGAGGCACGUGGGCCCACUUGGGUCUGGAGCACUGCUUGAUUUGGCCAGGGCCAGGCUGGGACAUCCCUCUACAGUAACUCCAGGGAUGUCAAGUAGGACUUUACUAGCCCUUGCCGAGCCAAUGGGGUCCCUUCACUGGAAUGAGAUUCUUCCCUACAGUGAGAUGGGGCAGGGCCCUUAAGGGCCAUCUCUCCCCAAGUGUCACCUCCUCCCUUCCAUGUGGGUUCCUGCACUUUGCCAUGUCCCCAGUGCCUCCAUGUCACAUGGCUGGGCUGCACAGCACAUUGCCUGCAUCCCACACUUCGCAGUGUCUGCCAGCAAUCACUCAACAAUUUGCUGGAUCUUCAUGGAGUAUCAAGCAAGGUAAAUGUGCCUGGAUGGUGCCCUGCCACACUGCCCCCACCUCCUGGUUAGAGUGGCCCGCGGACGUUCCUCUGGGAGGCCAUCUCAAGCCGAGGAUGACAGAGCUGGGGACCUUAGAGGCAGACAGCUCUAUUGGAGAUGGGUGGAUGCUAUGGCCUAAACCCUAGUCCUGCCAUGGCCAAGUGAAAUCUGGCAGGAUGGAGGUAGCCUUCUCCCAUGCAUCCCCAUGUGUAAGUUCAUUCAUUCAAGUAUUUAUUGCUAUGCGCUGGCACUGUGCUGGAAGCAUGAUCACCUCUGAAAAUAAAACCGAUCGUUCAGCUUACAGAUUCAUGUGGGUCAUGGGAGAGACGAGUAAUAAAAUGAGUAAAAUAUCCAAAAUUUUGAGGUUGGGGAUUUAGCUCAGCGGCACCGUGCCUGCCUUGCAAGUGCUAGGUCCUGAGUUCGAUCUCCAGUAUGAAAAAAAAGAAAAUCUAGAUCAGAGAGAAAAGCAAGACAAAGAAGAAAGAAAGCACUGAGGUGAGGUGUGAUUUUUCCAUGGAAUGGCCAGGGAAAAUGACCUGAGAAUGACCUUUGGCAAAGACCUGGAGCAAGUGAGGAAAUGAGUCCCUGGAGAUAUCUAUAGGAAGAGCAUUCUAGGCAGGAAGAGCAGCACAUACAAAGGUCCUGAGGCAGGGUUAUGCCUACUUAAAGAGCAGUGGACUAGAACCAAGUCGGUGU
RNAcentral lists this long non-coding RNA (1089 nucleotides) under Heterocephalus glaber (naked mole-rat). RNAcentral describes it as "lncRNA (ENSHGLG00100048548.1)". Lineage: Eukaryota; Metazoa; Chordata; Mammalia; Rodentia; Bathyergidae. The record is from RNAcentral.